GUGAGUUUUAUGCAUAUGCUUAUCAAAGCCAAAUUAUAGUUCCAUAUCUAAACGCUUUGCUCCUUGAACAAUGGGUCAAAAGCCUAACCCAUGUAAAAAUAAAAUUUUACAUGUUGUUGAACUGUGAUGUUUUAGAAAAAAAGAAAUAUGGAAAAACAAAACUGAAUACAUAACUAAGAUUAAGUGCACUGAAUGUUCUAUUAAACUGGGAACCCCUACUGCCCCCAUACGCUUCACAACUUGAUUUCCUGAGGCGAUUGUAGUUUCCAUUAUCCUGCGGAAAUAACCAAAAGUUAAUUACAUCGUCAUUUAUACACUUAGUAACCUAUGAUAUGAUUUCUCUUGGCAUUCAAUCUCAGCAAUCAAAAUAUCAACUCAAUAUAAUAUCAAUGAAAAGAACUUUGAAUAUACAAAAUAGACAUCACCUAAAACAGACAAAACAAAGAUAAACAACAUAAUAUUGAUGGUAAAAAUUAGACUAACUAUAUAAAAAACUUUCAAAGGAAAUUGAAAUUCCAAAAACAUCCUUGACAUUAGUUGCUGCAGCCUACGACUAAUACCAAAUUCUCUCAUUGUAUUAUAGAAAUUGCCGGUCAUUACACAAGCUCCUUAGGGCAUAGGUAUUAGGUAGUAAACAGUUGGGUCACUUAAGAAAAUAAUUAUACAAUCUCUUGUAAAUGUAUCAAUGCAGUAAAUGCAUCUUGAUGUUUACAAUGCAUGGUGAUUAAAUGAUUACAACAUUUUAGCAGUUGUCAAUUGAUGAAUGAUAACAUUAGCACCAUAUUGUCGCAAAUAUGUUCAUUUAGAAAUUUAGAAAAAGCAGAAGUAAAUUUAAAACAGGAAUUUACUUCAAUCUUUUACUUAUUGUGAUUUUACAAAAAAAUUCAUCAAAGGUGAUAAAAUUUAGAACAAGCAAAAGCAACAUUUUGCAACAAUAAGGCGUUAUUAUUCAACGAUUGACAGUUACAAAGAUGUAAUCAAUUAAUCAUUGACUUUUCGUGAUUUUACAGAAAAUUUCAACAUCAAAAUCAAUGCCAUUUAGAACAAGCAAAAGCAACAUUAUAAACCAAAACCAAAACCAACAAAGAGAAAGUCACCAACCAAUCAUAAAAAAGAGAAAGCUAAAACCCAUGCAAUGUAAGCAUACAUGCAGACUAUCUUUUCUAUUGUUGAUCAUAAAAAUCUCUCACGAGUAAAUCCAUUAUGCAGGGAAAACCAUAAAUACAACAAACAUACUUCAAAAAGCCCUUGAUUUAUAUUAAAACAGCUUGUGAGCUUAUCAACUGGCAUAAGCACUUGUGAGACUAGUUGAUAAAACUAUAUGGAAACAGCUUAAGACAUGUUCAUAAGCUGUUUUCAGCUGAUUUUCAUAAGCCUUACAAGAUAGCUUAUGAAAACAGCUUAUGGCUUACACAAAAACAAUUUAACUUUAUUUUAUCUUUUGUUAUGAAAUAGAUUUACAUAAGUGUAUAUUAUGAUAAAACUUAUGCUAUAAACUGCAAAAAAGAAUUGUUUAUCCAAACAGGGCCUAAGCUCUCAAAUUCAAGCUACCGCAUGAAUAAAUUUGUUUAAAUGCUGCCAACAAUUACAUCAAAACUUCAUACCAACCAUUCCAUCAAAUAUAUUCUUCAAAUUAAAGGAAGUUAUAAGUUUACAAAUAAAAAAUUGAAGUUCAGUGUGAGGGAAUAUAAUUUACCUAACCAGAUCCAACGAUGAUGUUGUUAAUUGGGAUGAAAAUGAGCUUAACGAAAAAGCCAACGAAUCCCAUCACAACGAAACCGAUGGCAGUGCGCACAGCAACCUUAGAGAAUUCUGCAAAACGAAAUGUACAAUAAAAUUAAAGAUCCAUAGCACAGAGAUUCAUAAGACGAAAAUCAAAGAGAAAUGAAAGGGAUUUUGAGUUUGUUUACCUUUGCGAUCGGGUUUGUGGCAUCGCUUGACGAGCCUUACGCUGUCCUUAGCGAAUUCUCUGAGUGGAUCGAAAACAGAAUCAAUGGCGUCCAUUUUCUUUCGAUCUGAGAAUUGAAACAAAUUGGAUAAUUAAUUAAGAGAUUCGAUUAAGAAUUUUCAAGAGACGAAAAAAUCUAGAUCGAAAUCAAAGGCAACAGAAUCAAUUUUUCUAU
RNAcentral lists this long non-coding RNA (2123 nucleotides) under Medicago truncatula (barrel medic). RNAcentral's name for it is "lncRNA gene27512". The record is from RNAcentral. Lineage: Eukaryota; Viridiplantae; Streptophyta; Magnoliopsida; Fabales; Fabaceae.